GUCGAACGCUUCUUUCCUCCCGAGUGCUUGCACUCAAUUGGAAAGAGGAGUGGCGGACGGGUGAGUAACACGUGGGUAACCUACCCAUCAGAGGGGGAUAACACUUGGAAACAGGUGCUAAUACCGCAUAACAGUUUAUGCCGCAUGGCAUAAGAGUGAAAAGCGCUUUCGGGUGUCGCUGAUGGAUGGACCCGCGGUGCAUUAGCUAGUUGGUGACGUAACGGCUCACCAAGGCCACGAUGCAUAGCCGACCUGAGAGGGUGAUCGGCCACACUAGGGACUGAGACACGGCCCAGACUCCUACGGGAGGCAGCAGUAGGGAAUCUUCGGCAAUGGACGAAAGUCUGACCGAGCAACGCCGCGUGAGUGAAGAAGGUUUUCGGAUCGUAAAACUCUGUUGUUAGAGAAGAACAAGGACGUUAGUAACUGAACGUCUCCUGACGGUAUCUAACCAGAAAGCCACGGCUAACUACGUGCCAGCAGCCGCGGUAAUACGUAGGUGGCAAGCGUUGUCCGGAUUUAUUGGGCGUAAAGCGAGCGCAGGCGGUUUCUUAAGUCUGAUGUGAAAGCCCCCGGCUCAACCGGGGAGGGUCACUGGAAACUGGGAGACUUGAGUGCAGAAGAGGAGAGUGGAAUUCCAUGUGUAGCGGUGAAAUGCGUAGAUAUAUGGAGGAACACCAGUGGCGAAGGCGGCUCUCUGGUCUGUAACU
RNAcentral lists this ribosomal RNA (710 nucleotides) under uncultured Enterococcaceae bacterium. RNAcentral's name for it is "bacterial SSU rRNA". It matches the Rfam family "Bacterial small subunit ribosomal RNA", at positions 61 to 741 of the family's 1533-position model. The record is from RNAcentral. Lineage: Bacteria; Bacillati; Bacillota; Bacilli; Lactobacillales; Enterococcaceae.